GCGAGCCUUUCACUCAAACCGCAGGAUGAGGCAGAGGCACAAGACCGACGAUACAAGGAAAUGCGCACUCAGCAAAAAGUACAUUUAUAAAUAAAUAAAAUCAUCCACAACAAUGGCAUUUUAAACAUCCUCUCACUCUCCCCUCACCCCUCUCUCUCUUACACACACACACACAUACACUCACACUCAGAUUCAAGAAGCAUUAUUAUAUUAUACAUACAUAUUGCCAAUGGAGAUUGUUUGAAUAGUAGUUAACAGGAUAAUAAUAAUAAUAAUAUAAUGGUCUCUGGGUGACCUCCUCCUCCUAGCAGAAGCCCUGUAGAGCUACAUAUAUAUUCUUUAUGGGUGGCAACUAUGGGCUCAAAUGAAUGCCAAAACACAAACCAUAAGUUGCAAGCACAAGUCAUUGCUUACAAAUACAAAAUACUUUUGGCAUUAAUUUGAGCCCAUAGGCGACCAGUGACCUCACGCCUUAGCGCGUUUGUCUUUUCUUCUAAACGGGCGGGGCAGCAGUUUCCCUUCCGCGGCCACCGUCCUAACAGAGUGCCCGCGCGAUUAACAGGCGGGUCCCGAAACGAAUAUGGAAAGGGCGCCCGAUCGCUCCCUUGUUAUUAAUUGUCUGCACCGCUUAUGGAAAUAUAUUUUUUUAAAUAUAUAAUAGCGCUACCUGAAGCCUCUGCCCGUUGUCAAGACGCGAGAACAAAUUACAUUGAUUUACCGCUCGCCCCCCAGCCCAGCCAAUCAUGUCCAGACCUGCACCACCAGUAGGUCACAUGCUGUUUUUUUUUUUUAGGUUCAGUCUUAAAAUGAUUGGCAGUCUUUACGGAUGGUGAUGUGAGCCUCCCGGGAAUGGAAAUGGAGCUCUCCCAAGUGUUUUCUCCAAAACAAUCAUCCGUUGGAGAUUCCCGAACGCCUGUGUGCGCAGUUACCCUCCAGCCCUGUCCAAACGACUUUUUUUUCACGGGCUUGGGCAUUGCGCCGUUAAGAAAGCAUCUUGCGUGAGAUUGUUGCGCUCUGGUAAAUCUCACAGCCGGGGAGACGGCAACGCUGAGGAUCGGCAUUUGUAUGCGAUUCGCCGUCUAGGCCCGGGCCUGCUGCUUUGUGUGUGUUUGGCACUUUCUGGCUCAAUAAAAAGAGCGCCGCGGACUGAAAAUCGAUGGCGGGCGCGAAAAUGAGAGGAGGAGGAGGAGGAGAGAAAAUCCAUUCGCCGUGGGCCUGGCGGCCUGCCCGUCGUCAUCGGCAUGCUCACAGACGCGGAGUUAAUCAUAUUUACAGGCUUUUUCGCAGAGUCGGGAUCGAAGGGUGCGUUCAGUCUGCGCAGACAGGGAGCCACGCUAGCGUAUGCUAAUGCGAGCCGCGACGGGCGCGGACUCCGCCCCCCCCGGUUUCUCUCCGGCUGCCAUUUUGUAAACUGCUGGAUGAGGCUUGAGGAGGAGGGAAGGACACAUCCGACAGCCCAAAUCUCCGCGGCGCUGUCGCCGGUGACUGAGACAGGCGGUACCUUUCAAAGCGCCGGCUCGCUGUUCUGAAUUUCAAAAACCUGGCGACGGCGUCCCGAUUUCCUGCUUCUGAACGCAUUUCGGAAGUUUCCACAACCGCUUAGCAGCAGAUUGUCCGGAGAGUACGCCAAUACAAAAGGGUAAUAUCACUCAGUAAGCCUGUUUAUAAUCAAUACCAUCCACUUAAGUGUUUUAACUGAUCCUAUUUGUACCUGACUGAUACCUGGCAUUUCCUGUUUCCUCAUUAUUUGCUAGUGCAUGUGCAUGAAUGCUGUUGGUUGUUUGUCUGUACACCUGCUCCCUUACAUUUUAAUUGGAAAAUAUUAUUUCUUGAACAUUGUGAAUAAGUAUCACCUUUCUCUGGUUUUUAAUAAAACACAGGUUGUUUUGUAAUGCAUUGGUUUUAGUAAAAAAAAAAAAAUUCUUACAUUCAAGUGUAGCCUGAAGCGGCUACUUCCUGCUUCCUGUGCAUCUGGGUGGUAGUGAUGCGCAAAUGAUGUCACCACCCUCCAUUUUGAUUGUGUUUCUUCCCCCAGGGCUUCUCUUUCCUACCGCAGGUUAUAAUUUGCAAAAUGGUGGUGGGAGAAACAGCUGUGUUUUUCAAGAGCUGCUGUGCCUUUCAUGUGGCGAACACAGAACAGGUGGAUGGCAUUCCACGUCCAGGUGGACAAUGAAGACUUCAGAACCAAGGAUAGCAGCCUCACUCACAGAUCUUCAGGACCAUGGACAGUGGCAGUCACUCACAGCUGUUCAGGACCACGGACAGCGAUAACCACGCACUGCUGUUCAGGACCACGGACAGCCCCAGCCACUUAAAGGAUGCCGCAGCUGGAGCUGGCUGAUACUCAGAGCAGGUGUUGCUCAUUUCCUUCAUCAGGUCUCGUAUAAAAGGCCCAGUCUGCAGUGUCUGCACACUCCCUUUCUCUUCUGCUCUUCCAGGCCCCGGGGGAAGUUUGUGCUGAUUUCUGUCUCCGCCAGAGUUGUCCGCUUUGGCUCCUUCAGCCAAAUUGGCUGAUUUGUCAGUAACUCAGCGCUGACUGGUGAGAUUGGAAAGCCAGCUGUUGUUUUGGUGCUCCUGGGGAUUGGUAGUUUUUUUUCUCUCUCUUUGCUCAGACUACUUACUUCCUUAGUGAUCAGUGUGCCGUUGUAAAGCCAGAACUUCUGGCAUUGUGGAAUUUUGUUUUGUUUUGUUUUGGUGCUACAACUUUGGGUUGUAUGGGUGCCAGUGCCUUACACUAAAAAAUCUGUUACCUAAGAAUUUUCCAAUCUGGCUGGUAAACCUGGUGUAGAGUCGGUGUGCCAUGAUUGUGUUACUGUGCAUGUGUUCCUUCAUAAUAUAAAUAUUUGUAUUUUUGGUGAAGAUAUGAGCGAUGGCCUGUCAGAUUUUAGGCAUUUAAGCAAACUCCUGAGCCAAAGUGUCUUAAACCAGGGGUGUUUAAAAUCCCCACCUGAGAUCAGUUUAGCAAUUAUGGAAUCAGUGCCAUCAUAGUUCUGUGCCAUAAGAUCAAAGGAAGACCAGGGAAAGUAGGGGUAGGGAUAGUUUUUUCUUUUUAAAUGAGAUGUUGAGGUGGGUUUGACAAACUAUAUGCUUCACCUCCUAAAACCUGUCUGUUUGUCCU
This is a long non-coding RNA of Anguilla rostrata (American eel), 3118 nucleotides long. RefSeq lists it as uncharacterized. NCBI's taxonomy places the organism in Eukaryota, Metazoa, Chordata, Actinopteri, Anguilliformes, Anguillidae. The record is from RefSeq and is a predicted model, not a curated record. The transcript has 9 exons.